AUACGUAGGUGGCAAGCGUUGUCCGGAAUUACUGGGUGUAAAGGGAGCGUAGGCGGGAAUGCAAGUUGAAUGUUAAAACUAUGGGCUUAACCCAUAUCUGCGUUCAAAACUGUAUUUCUUGAGUGAAGUAGAGGUAGGCGGAAUUCCUAGUGUAGCGGUGAAAUGCGUAGAUAUUAGGAGGAACACCAGUGGCGAAGGCGGCUUACUGGGCACUAACUGACGCUGAGGCACGAAAGCAUGGGGAGC
RNAcentral lists this ribosomal RNA (246 nucleotides) under uncultured bacterium. RNAcentral's name for it is "partial 16S ribosomal RNA". It matches the Rfam family "Bacterial small subunit ribosomal RNA", at positions 523 to 769 of the family's 1533-position model. The record is from RNAcentral.